GAUUCUGCCCUACGGGGAAGGAUGAGAAGCUUCGACUAAGGUUCGACUCGAGCGCCAGCGAGAGAAC
RNAcentral lists this small RNA (67 nucleotides) under Klebsiella variicola. Its description in RNAcentral is "partial RtT sRNA". It matches the Rfam family "RtT RNA", at positions 1 to 66 of the family's 130-position model. From Rfam's summary of the family: This family represents a bacterial cis-regulatory element known as RtT RNA. The exact function of RtT is unknown although it is thought that it may be involved in changing the cellular response in relation to amino acid starvation. Lineage: Bacteria; Pseudomonadati; Pseudomonadota; Gammaproteobacteria; Enterobacterales; Enterobacteriaceae. The record is from RNAcentral.